GCUGCAAGAUCCCAAGAAAAAAGAGGAAAACAAUACGAUUAAGUCCGAGAAAACCUGAGAAAACAACAAAUUUCACUUUUUCAGUGGAUUUUAAUAAUCACCUUCAAUCUCUGAGCAAGUUCCUUGGUGUGCAAAACAUUGGCGAGCUUCGAGACAGCAUAAGCACGUGUCGCAUCGUAUUGACUGGAGACACCGACACAAAUUUUCAGAAAAGCCCCAGAUAACGGAUUACGUCGCCGGAAAACCAGCUGUGAAUGGUCGACGAUACGUUCACGAUGCGACCUUGAACGCCGGUCUUUUUCGCCGUUUCGAUCAUCUUAUUUAGCAACAGUUUGGUCAAUAGAAAAUGACCUGAGAAAUUCAUUGAAAAUGUAUAUAUAUUACUUAGCUCAAAUAAAUUGAAUAAAUAAUAAUUUCAGUUUUUUUCUUCAAUUUUUACCUAGAUAAUUGGUAGCAAAGGUCAUCUCGAUUCCAUCUUCGGAGAUAGCAUGCUCGUGAGUGAACUUCCCGGCGUUGUUUCUGAGAUCAAAGAAAAGAUAAUCAGAUUGUACGAGGGAAACAUACAAGCUCAUUUUUCACUACUUGCUGCAACGAAGUACGAAAAUCUGGAAUGGUUUCAUUUUCUCAGGAACCAAACAGAGGCAAAACUUCGGUUUUUGGAGCUUACAUGAGGAGAUUGAGCGGCAAAUCCAGAGACUCGAACUCCAAAACGAAGCAUCGAACCGAGUCGAGCGAACUAAGAUCGAGAGCCAUGACGACGAUCUCCGAAUUGGGAAACUCCGCCACAAUACGAGCCUUCGCUUCCUCCGCAGCCUUCAGGCUCCGCGCCGGCAGCACCAGCCUCGCCCCGCGCUUCGCCAGCACCCGGGCCGUCUCCGCCCCUAUCCCCGACGUCGCACCUGGAAAUUGAACAACCCCAUCAUCAUCAGUUAAACAAACAACGAUUUUCAACUCAUCAUGCAAUGGAAAUCAACCAUUAUUGUUGAGCAAACUCACCAGUAAUGACAGCAGUGAUGGAGCCCAGAUCGGGGCAGUUCUCAGUUACCUCUUCGGCUGUGGACUUGGAGCCAUACCCACUUGCUCCGAAUGAGCCGAGGAGGUAUUUCAGAGCAUCAAGCAUUUGUCAAAGCUAAGGUACGUAUUUGCAGUUUGUCAGGUUUUUGCAGGCGAUGAGGCUCUGCAGUUUACCUUUUUCUUUUUCAGAGGGAGACGUUAAAAAAAAAAGAUUGGAAAGGUUUGGAAGGUGAUUCGUGAAGAGAAAGCGUGGAUUGGGAUGAGAUUUUAUAAUGGAUGGAGUGGAGAGUGGGGGAUUGGAUGUUUGUCAUUCAUUGACGAAGAUGAAAACCUUGCAUGAUUGGGGCGAAAGGGCCGAUAAAUGUGGGUGAAGAGUCCGAAGAAAACGACACCGUUUUGUUUCUGAGCCAUUUGAGAUUCAGAAGCAUAGUAGGUCGGACGGAGAAGGGUCGGCGAUUAAUUAAAUGCAACGGAAGCAAAGUACGAGCGUCGAUGCAGAGAGAUUGGAAUCGCGGAAAGGGAAUCGCACGUGAGGCUAGCGAUUCAAAAAUUCAACAGAUCGGUCAAUCCUACGGCCUCGAAUCUGCCACUCUUUUUUACCAGACAAUCAUUACCGUUGAAACCCUUGGAGCAAAAUGACAACCAUACCCCUCCCCCUUCAACUCUGUCAGGUACCCUCUCACUCCACAUUAACUCGUUCUAAUCAUGAUUGGACCUUGAUACCUCACUUUUUGAGUCUUCUUUUUGGAUGGUCAUUUAUUAUUAUUAUGAUUAAUAAUAAAUUAAUGAGGAGGUGAAGUUAUAAUCAAAACUGAUAAUGUGAGGGGCACGUUUGUUAAUUGUUAAUUGGAGAUGUGAAGAAAAAGGUGGGUGGGUCCAUGAAAAAGUGGUGCAAAAGAAGUCACGAAAUUUCAGCUUUUUGGAGCACUUCUCUAGGCCCCGUGCCCUCUCAUAUGCCCGGACCGGACCGGACCUUCUCCCAUCAUAUGAUUCAUAUCCCUUUAUCCACAUCUCAUCUCUUACAUUCACCUGACUCCCUCCCUUGGUUCAUCACCCUUACUCUUCAUUUCUUUUUCUCCAA
Vitis riparia (riverbank grape) is the source of this 2095-nucleotide RNA transcript. RefSeq lists it as uncharacterized. The record is from RefSeq and is a predicted model, not a curated record. NCBI's taxonomy places the organism in Eukaryota, Viridiplantae, Streptophyta, Magnoliopsida, Vitales, Vitaceae. The transcript is spliced from 4 exons.